CCACUUUUCUAUGUCUGCUAUUUUUAAUGUAAACCCGAUACGAUAACUUAUGUAAGUCCAUAAAGUUGCGUUAUUCUCUAAAAGAUAAUUUCUGCGUCAGAAAGCUAAAUAAACAAUCACGUGGUAUAGCCCAUUUGCAUAAAGAACCUUCGAAAUGUUUACUUUAUUAUUUAAAACAUUAAAAACGAGAUCAAAUGAGGUAGAACGAGAAUCGUUUCAAAAACUUCUCAAAAUGAUAUAUUUAAAAACUGAAUUCGUAAAUCAUUUUAAAAAAGGAAGAAUAGCAUGAAACGCAAUUUAUGAUAUUUUAAAUAGACUUGGUCAUUUAUUUUCUAAUAAAAAGCGUUCUGAUCGUCCAAAAAUCCUAGACAUAAAAAAAAAGAAAACCAAGUUCAAGAGAUUUGUCAAUAACCGAAAAGAGGUCAGUCAGAGAAAAUUGAGUAAACCAAUCGACAAUUGGUCGUCGAUUUCAAAAAAUGAAAAUAUGGAUAUUACACAGUCAUCAAAGAAACAUGUCCAGAGAGUGUUCACUGACAAAAGAGAAAUUUUCAAAAGUUAACAAUGUAGAUUGCCGUAAUUUUUUAAAAGUUAACAAUAUAGAUUGCCGUAUCUAACAGAAGUCUAAACAAUUGUUUUGUACUUCAAAGCUGUGGCACUAGGAAAAAAUUAAACAUA
Molecule: non-coding RNA, 675 nt
Organism: Hydra vulgaris (swiftwater hydra)
Lineage: Eukaryota; Metazoa; Cnidaria; Hydrozoa; Anthoathecata; Hydridae
Source: RefSeq, a predicted model, not a curated record